AGUGCCUACGGGGGGCAGCAGUGAGGAAUAUUGGUCAAUGGGCGGGAGCCUGAACCAGCCAAGCCGCGUGGGGGAAGAAGGUACAGCGUAUCGUAAACCUCUUUUGUCAGGGAACAAAGGCGGGGACUAGUCCCCGGAUGAGGGCACCUGAAGAAAAAGCAUCGGCUAACUCCGUGCCAGCAGCCGCGGUAAUACGGAGGAUGCGUGCGUUAUCCGGAUUUAUUGGGUUUAAAGGGUGCGCAGGCGGCCUGUUAAGUCAGUGGUAAAAGCCCGGGGCUCAAACCCGGCG
RNAcentral lists this ribosomal RNA (289 nucleotides) under uncultured bacterium. RNAcentral's name for it is "partial 16S ribosomal RNA". It matches the Rfam family "Bacterial small subunit ribosomal RNA", at positions 334 to 620 of the family's 1533-position model. The record is from RNAcentral.